UUACGGCCACAUCACUUUGAAAGACCAGUUCCCGUACAAUCGCUUAAGUUAAGCAAAGUUGAGUCUGAUCAGUACCUAGGUGGGUGACCGCUUGGGAAUACCAGGUGCUGUAAG
This is a non-coding RNA of Acanthosepion pharaonis, 114 nucleotides long. The record is from the annotation of a GenBank genome assembly. NCBI's taxonomy places the organism in Eukaryota, Metazoa, Mollusca, Cephalopoda, Sepiida, Sepiidae.